RNAcentral lists this ribosomal RNA (757 nucleotides) under uncultured bacterium. RNAcentral's name for it is "bacterial SSU rRNA". It matches the Rfam family "Bacterial small subunit ribosomal RNA", at positions 28 to 776 of the family's 1533-position model. The record is from RNAcentral.
GACGAACGCUGGCGGCGUGCUUAAUACAUGCAAGUCGAGCGAGGUUACUGCGACAGAUCUCUUCGGGGUGAAGUUGCUUUAGCCUAGCGGCGGACGGGUGAGUAACGCGUGGGUAACCUACCCUAAAGUUCGGGAUAACAGCGGGAAACCGCUGCUAAUACCGGAUGCCUUUACCGUGUGGCAUCACAGGGUAAAGAAAGGUAACGCUUUAGGAUGGGCCCGCGUCCCAUUAGCUAGUUGGUGAGGUAACAGCUCACCAAGGCGACGAUGGGUAGCCGGCCUGAGAGGGUGGACGGCCACACUGGGACUGAGACACGGCCCAGACUCCUACGGGAGGCAGCAGUAGGGAAUAUUGCGCAAUGGACGGAAGUCUGACGCAGCGACGCCGCGUGAGCGAUGAAGGCCUUCGGGUUGUAAAGCUCUGUCCUUGGGGAAGAAGGUCUUCGGACUUGACGGUACCCAAGAAGGAAGCCCCGGCUAACUACGUGCCAGCAGCCGCGGUAAUACGUAGGGGGCGAGCGUUGUCCGGAAUUACUGGGCGUAAAGGGUGCGUAGGCGGCCCUUUAAGUCAGAUGUGAAAGCCCGCAGCUUAACUGCGGAAUUGCAUUUGAAACUGGAGGGCUUGAGUGUCGGAGAGGGUAGUGGAAUUCCCAGUGUAGCGGUGAAAUGCGUAGAUUUUGGGAGGAACACCAGUGGCGAAGGCGACUGCCUGGACGAUAACUGACGCUGAGGCACGAAAGCUAGGGGAGCAAACAGG